RNAcentral lists this small RNA (28 nucleotides) under Bombyx mori (domestic silkworm). Its description in RNAcentral is "ovarian small RNA-13606". The record is from RNAcentral. Lineage: Eukaryota; Metazoa; Arthropoda; Insecta; Lepidoptera; Bombycidae.
CCAUUCAUGAUUGGGAUGCGUCAUCACU